GGUGGAACGAGGGCUUAACUGUCUCCCCCUUCUAGUCAAUGAAAUUGAUCUACCCGUGCAGAAGCGGGUAUAAUAAUACAAGACGAGAAGACCCUUUGGAGCUUAAGAUAAAAGACCAAUUAUGUCAAAAGUCCUAAAUAAUAAACCAAAUAGUACUAGUCCCAAUCUUCGGUUGGGGUGACCGCGGGAGAAAAUAAAGCUCCCACGCGGACUGGGGUUCCCCUAAAACUAAGAGAAACAUCUCUAAGUCACAGAAUAUCUGACCAAAAAGAUCCGGCUACACGCCGACCCACGGACCAAGUUACCCUAGGGAUAACAGCGCAAUCCCCUUCCAGAGUCCAUAUCGACAAGGGGGUUUACGACCUCGAUGUUGGAUCAGGAC
This 382-nucleotide ribosomal RNA is filed under the name Leporacanthicus heterodon. RNAcentral's name for it is "partial 16S ribosomal RNA". It matches the Rfam family "Bacterial large subunit ribosomal RNA", at positions 1998 to 2543 of the family's 2925-position model. Lineage: Eukaryota; Metazoa; Chordata; Actinopteri; Siluriformes; Loricariidae. The record is from RNAcentral.